GACGAACGCUGGCGGCGUGCUUAACACAUGCAAGUCGAACGGAAAGACCCUGCUUUUGUGGGGUGCUCGAGUGGCGAACGGGUGAGUAACACGUGAGUAACCUGCCCUUGACUUUGGGAUAACUUCAGGAAACUGGGGCUAAUACCGGAUAGGAGAUACUGCUGCAUGGUGGGGGUUGGAAAGAGUCGGCGGUGGGGGCUGGACUCGCGGCUUAUCAGCUUGUUGGGGGGGUAGGGGCGUACAAAGGCUAUGACGGGUAGCCGGCGUGAGAGGGUGACCGGCGACAAUGGUCCUGAGGUACGCCCCAGACGCCUACCGGAGGCAGUGGGGGGGAAUCUUGCAGAAUGGGGGGGAGCCUGUGGCAGAAGUGCCCGGUGCGGGAUGCUGUGUUUCGGGGUGAAAACCGCUGUCGACGGUGACAUGGCCGGAGUGACGGUAACUGGUAAGAAAGCACCGGCUAACUACGUG
This 468-nucleotide ribosomal RNA is filed under the name uncultured bacterium. Its description in RNAcentral is "partial 16S ribosomal RNA". It matches the Rfam family "Bacterial small subunit ribosomal RNA", at positions 28 to 507 of the family's 1533-position model. The record is from RNAcentral.